This 1912-nucleotide long non-coding RNA is filed under the name Apis mellifera (honey bee). RNAcentral's name for it is "uncharacterized LOC102656011, transcript variant X8". Lineage: Eukaryota; Metazoa; Arthropoda; Insecta; Hymenoptera; Apidae. The record is from RNAcentral.
AAUCAGUAUUAUAAAGUAUACGGCUUUGUGUAAUUAUUGAAGUGGGCGAUAUAUCUGCUUGGUCGUUUCAAAAAUUUCUAAAGUGUGUACAGAAGAUGUAUGGUGAUCCUGCGAUUAAUUUCCAACGAACGUUUUUUCUAGAAUAAACGGUACGAUGAGAGAUUGAAAAAGAGGAUACUCCAAGUAACUCCAAUAUCACGAAGAAUCCUAACCAAAAAAAAAAAAAAAAGAAAUCUUUAAAAGAAGACGAAAAAUAUGGAAGAAAGAAAAUAAUUCGGGAAAAACUAUUUUUCCCGAACUGUAUAACAACGUAACAAAGCCUUUCGCUCGUUAAAUCCCCUCCAUCUUUAAUGACAAUUUUCCUCGUUGCUUCGAGGUUAUGUCGCGAAGAAGCGCGAGAAAAUAUCAGAGCCACCACCCUAGGCCAGACGCGGAAGUGCGCACAACUGUUCACGCGGAAGCCAGACCUGUUCACGGCAAAGAAAUUUGUCAAUGAGGUGAUGUUGUACAAUAGAGGACAGGGUUCUGUAAGGCAGAAGUUCUGAAAUUUGACAAUAAAUGGCGGGCAAGAACAGUUUCUUUUAUAAAUCCAAGUUUCUUCUACUGUUACAGAAGCAAUGAUUUAUUUCAGGAACCUGAGGUAAGUUUGAAGAGUACAGAUGUUGAUAGAAAGAAGUUACCUAUUGUAAAAUUGAAUGAAAACUGCAAAUACACAAAGGGAGAGGCUGUAUAUUUUUUAUUUGAAAUAUUUAAAUAUGAAUGGUGAAAAAGAAGAAAAAUGUGCAAAAAAUAAGCAUCAUUUUUAAGAGUAUCUAUUUUGCAUUUAACUGCAUCUUAAUAAGUACUCCAUCAUAUUUGAAAUUACAUGUUACAUACAUGGCAAUGCAAUGCUUCAAAAUGAUCCAAGAUUCACUUUGUGCGGGUGAUAUAUGUAUUUGCUCGCAUUCCACGUGUCAGUUCAAUUAAGUCUCAUAUACAUCAAGAUCCUCGAUGCAUAACGAGAAUUCUAGGAAAAAAGAAAUGAAACAGUCGAGAAGAACACUUUCAUAUUAAAAAAAAAAAAAAUUUUCUUUUAAAGUAUAUAAAUUUAUAGAAUAAUAAACUUGAUUAAGUUAUAUAAAAUAUUUCUGUAUCCAUAAAUGAACAUUUCAAGUAACAACAUCCUGAUAAUUACAAUUAAUAAAAAGAAUCCAUUAAAAAUAUAAUAAAUUGUCGGAUCUCUUAAAGAUUUAAAGGUUUAGAUCAAAUUGUAUGAAACAUCCUGUGUCCACGAUAUUUAACUUUCAGUAACAAAAUCGGGCAAUUACAAUCGAUAAAAGAAUUCAUUAAAAAAAUUCAAUGAGUUGUCACAGUUCUUAAAAGCCGUUCAUUACUUGGCCAUAACGUGAAAUAUUUCGAGGACAUCCAGUUCAUUAAAAACGAGUUCUCGAUUCGUGAUAUUAAUUCUUCGCGAUGAUAAUUGAAGUAAGAAAGAAAACGACGAUUCACUUGGAGCAACUUAAUGCAAUGUGUUCAUUAAUGAGAAUCCAUACAUCACGCAUUAUGCAAGAUAUAUGAGUGUUGGCCACAGGCAUCGUUAAUUAACAGUUGAAUCAAAAUGAUCAUUCGAUGUGUAAUAGCAUCACAAUUAUUCACGUCGAUCGACACACUGCUGAUCACGUUAUACCCAUUGUCACUGCAUUUGACAGACGCGUCAAUCAAUUUAUAACACAGGCACGGAAGCUAUACGUCCCGUGCAUCCUGAAACAUGGCGAUCAACGGAAGCCCUCGAAAGUGAAAAAUCCCUUGAAAAAUAGAACGGCUGCCAGGAUGAUCCGUUGUAUAUUGGAGAUAGUUUGGCGAAAAUUGAAAUUUUUCAUCGCGCCGCUUGAACCAUUGUGCAGGGCAGCAAAGCAGAGUAAAUUUUAAGGAA